GAUGGGUUAGGGUUAGGCAUUCAGUCAUAAUCCCACAGAUGGUAGCUUUGGGGCACUUCGUUUUUGGAAAAUAAUAAACUAGCCUGUCUCAAAUAAGACCCUCAUCAUUUAAGACCCUCAUCAUUUGGGACACUCAGUUUUUGGAAAAUAAUUUGGGACACUAAACUGCACGUAUACCAAACAUACAUAGGUUACGCUGAUUGUAAAAUACCAACCACAGUAUUUCACCAUACUGUAACGUUAGAGGGGUGAGGUCAGACCAACAUGUAGUUGCUGAAAGUUGUGCCAAAGUGAAGUCAACUAACAU
Long non-coding RNA from Sander lucioperca (pikeperch), 307 nucleotides. RefSeq lists it as uncharacterized. The record is from RefSeq and is a predicted model, not a curated record. NCBI's taxonomy places the organism in Eukaryota, Metazoa, Chordata, Actinopteri, Perciformes, Percidae. The transcript is spliced from 2 exons.